UACGGGGGGGGCAAGCGUUGUUCGGAAUUACUGGGCGUAAAGGGCUCGUAGGCGGCCAACUAAGUCAGACGUGAAAUCCCUCGGCUUAACCGGGGAACUGCGUCUGAUACUGGAUGGCUUGAGUGUGGGAGAGGGAUGCGGAAUUCCAGGUGUAGCGGUGAAAUGCGUAGAUAUCUGGAGGAAGACCGGUGGCGAAGGCGGUCUGCUGGGCAGUUUCUGACACUGAUGCGCGACAGCGUGGGGAGCAAACAGG
This 253-nucleotide ribosomal RNA is filed under the name uncultured bacterium. Its description in RNAcentral is "partial 16S ribosomal RNA". It matches the Rfam family "Bacterial small subunit ribosomal RNA", at positions 524 to 776 of the family's 1533-position model. The record is from RNAcentral.